RNAcentral lists this ribosomal RNA (371 nucleotides) under uncultured bacterium. RNAcentral describes it as "bacterial SSU rRNA". It matches the Rfam family "Bacterial small subunit ribosomal RNA", at positions 527 to 896 of the family's 1533-position model. The record is from RNAcentral.
GAAGGGUGCAAGCGUUAAUCGGAAUUACUGGGCGUAAAGCGUGCGUAGGCGGUUAUUUAAGUCUGUUGUGAAAUCCCCGGGCUCAACCUGGGAAUGGCAAUGGAUACUGGAUAGCUAGAGUGUGAUAGAGGAUGGUGGAAUUCCCGGUGUAGCGGUGAAAUGCGUAGAGAUCGGGAGGAACAUCAGUGGCGAAGGCGGCCAUCUGGAUCAACACUGACGCUGAGGCACGAAAGCGUGGGGAGCAAACAGGAUUAGAUACCCUGGUAGUCCACGCCCUAAACGAUGCGAACUGGAUGUUGGUCUCAACUCGGAGAUCAGUGUCGAAGCUAACGCGUUAAGUUCGCCGCCUGGGGAGUACGGUCGCAAGACUG